GACGAACGCUGGCGGCGUGCUUAACACAUGCAAGUCGAACGGAAAGGCCCUGCUUUUGUGGUGUUCUCGAGUGGCGAACGGGUGAGUAACACGUGAGUAACCUGCCCUUGACUUUGGGAUAACUUCACGAAACUGGGGCUAAUACCAGAUAGGAUCUCCUGUUGCAUUGUGGGGGGUGGAAAGUUUCGGCUGUUGGGGAUGGACUCGCGGGUUAUCAGCUUGUUGGUGGGGUAGUGGCUUACCAAGGCUUUGACGGGUAGCCGGCCGGAGAGGGUGACCGGCCACAAUGGGACUGAGAUACGGACCAGACUCCUACGGGAGGCAGCAGUCGGGAAUAUUGCACAAUGGGAGGAAGCCUGAUGCAGAAACGCCGCGUGCGGGAUGACGGCCUGUGGGGUGUAAACCGCUUUAGCCUGUGACGACGCGUUAGUGACGGUAAUGGGUAAAGAAGCACCGGCUAACUACGUG
RNAcentral lists this ribosomal RNA (468 nucleotides) under uncultured bacterium. RNAcentral describes it as "partial 16S ribosomal RNA". It matches the Rfam family "Bacterial small subunit ribosomal RNA", at positions 28 to 507 of the family's 1533-position model. The record is from RNAcentral.